This 208-nucleotide ribosomal RNA is filed under the name Clostridioides difficile. RNAcentral's name for it is "partial 23S ribosomal RNA". It matches the Rfam family "Bacterial large subunit ribosomal RNA", at positions 2113 to 2319 of the family's 2925-position model. The record is from RNAcentral. Lineage: Bacteria; Bacillati; Bacillota; Clostridia; Peptostreptococcales; Peptostreptococcaceae.
GACAUUGGGUCUUGGUACUACAUGUACAGGAUAGGUGGGAGGCUUUGAAACCAGGACGCCAGUUUUGGCGGAGCCAUCCUUGGGAUACCACCCUUGUAGUACUGGGACUCUAACCAUAGGCCAUGAAGCUGGUCUUGGGACACUGUCAGGUGGGCAGUUUGACUGGGGCGGUCGCCUCCCAAAAGGUAACGGAGGCGCUCAAAGGUUC